Molecule: long non-coding RNA, 557 nt
Organism: Pungitius pungitius (ninespine stickleback)
Lineage: Eukaryota; Metazoa; Chordata; Actinopteri; Perciformes; Gasterosteidae
Exons: 5
Source: RefSeq, a predicted model, not a curated record
AUGACGUCACUAUUUAGCUCAGGUCGACGAGCGGCCCUGAUGACGCGUCCAAGAUGGCCGACAGGCCCCUGAGCUGUAACUUCCGCUGCCCGACUGUUCGUGACGAUGGAGACCCGAUGGAAGAAAGGAGACUGACUGGGGGCGCCCUCCAUCCAUCACAUGGGAUCAUGCUGCUGUGCGGGGAUGACGUGUUUAUGUGCUUAAAAGAUCUAAACUGAAUCAUGCAACACAUGAACAGUGAACUCUAGUCUGCACCUGAAGAAAGGCUCUUUACUUGAAAAUGUUGGAAGAGCAGCUGGAGAACAACAAGGUUCAAGACAAGCGGACGGAGGACGAAAUGAACAAAGCUGCUGAAUGAGCAGAGACACUUGAAGGUCCUGGAGGAGACGAGGAGGAUGGAGGAACAUUUGGGCGCAGUUUCCAGACCUGAGGACGGCAGGUUUCUUCUUCUGCUCUGCGGUUACUCUGAGAAGUAACUUUGACAGUUUGGGGGUGGUUCAACUUUUGUAAAAUGUUUGCUGUGCAGCUGAAUUUUAAUAAAGAAUAAUUUGGUAUAA